CCUACGGGAGGCAGCAGCGAGGAAUUUUCCACAAUGGGCCGUAUGGCCUGAUGGAGCAACGCCGCGUGGGGGACGAAGCGUUUCGGCGUGUAAACCCCUUUUGGGCGGGAAGAUGAUGACGGUACCGCCCGAAUAAGCCCCGGCUAACUACGUGCCAGCAGCCGCGGUAAUACGUAGGGGGCGAGCGUUGUCCGGAUUUAUUGGGCGUAAAGAGCGCGCAGGCGGCCCGCCAAGUCACCACGUGAAAUCCCCCGGCUCAACCGGGGAGGGUCGGGUGAAACUGGCGGACUUGACGAUGGGAGAGGGGUGCGGAAUUCCCGGUGUAGUGGUGAAAUGCGUACAUAUCGGGAGGAACACCAGUGGCGAAGGCGGCACCCUGGCCCAUACCUGACGCUGAGGCGCGAAGGCCGGGGGAGCGAACGGGAUUAGAUACCCCGGUAGUCCCGGCAGUAAACCAUGGACACUCGGUGUCGGCGGUGUUGACCCCGCCGGUGCCCGAGCUAACGCAUUAAGUGUCCCGCCCGGGGAGUACGGCCGCAAGGCUAAAACUCAAAGGAAUUGACGGGGGCCCGCACAAGCAGCGGAGCGUGUGGUUUAAUUCUAUGCGACGCCAAGAACCUUACCCAGGCUUGACAUGUCUAUGUAAGCCGGUGGAAACAUUGGCCCCCAUCCGCUUCGCCGGAUGGCAUAGUCACAGGUGUUGCAUGGCUGUCGUCAGCUCGUGCCGUGAGGUGUUGGGUUAAGUCCCGCAACGAGCGCGACCCUUGUCGCGAGUUAUACUUCUCUCGCGAGACUGCCCGGUAGAGAACCUGAGCACGUGGGGAUGAUGUCAACUCAGCAUGACCCUUACGUCUUGGCGCACACACACGCUACGAUGGCCGGUACACUGGGGAGCGAUGGGGCGACCCUCGAGCCCAUUCCCCUUAAGUCCGGCCUCAGUUGGGAUCGCAGCUGAAACCCUCGUCCGUGACUGCGCACUUGCUCGUAAUCGCGCGUCCGGCUUACGGCGAGAGUAGAUUCCAGG
RNAcentral lists this ribosomal RNA (1024 nucleotides) under uncultured bacterium. RNAcentral's name for it is "bacterial SSU rRNA". It matches the Rfam family "Bacterial small subunit ribosomal RNA", at positions 338 to 1377 of the family's 1533-position model. The record is from RNAcentral.